Molecule: long non-coding RNA, 1948 nt
Organism: Hordeum vulgare subsp. vulgare (domesticated barley)
Lineage: Eukaryota; Viridiplantae; Streptophyta; Magnoliopsida; Poales; Poaceae
Exons: 2
Source: RefSeq, a predicted model, not a curated record
GUUCCCUUCCCUCACGCCAUCAGCUGCUAUGGACAUGACGUGCCCCGAUGCGGCGGUCUUCAUCCCCGCCUCCCACCACCAUCGAGAUCUUCUCCUCCCCAUCCACGACCAUCUGCAAGAGCCAGAGCAGGGGGGCGCUCUGCGAGGGAGGCACUGGCUCCGCCCAGAUCGGCCGGCCGCCCCGUGUGGUUUGGUGGGAUGUGGAGAUGUCGUGGGUGUGGAGAUGGCUGCUGGAGAAGCUGGGAAGGUGGGACGGAGGAGAAGGAUCAUGGGGCUACGGUGAUCUGUAGUGGGGGUGGGACUAGGAUCUUCGAGGGGAGGAGGAGGCGGCGUCUCGGUUAGUACAACAUGAAGCAUAUCAUCACGGCUUCCAAGGUCGCCCAAGCCAUGGAGCUCUCUAAGAGGGUCCUCUCUUUCGCCGGUGCCAUGGCCGUCCACGGGGGCCGCCUGCUCUGCGUCGGCUCCUACGACUCCCCCAAGGUCUCCGUCCGAUUUUCUGCCCCUGUCCCCCUAGAGAUUAGGUUUGUUUGUUUUAUUCUAUUGUGCCGGUAAUCUUUCGUUUUGUUUUGUCCAUCACAGUGACAGAACUCUUUCGUUUUGUUUUAUUCUAUUGUGCCGGUAAUCAAUUUCUCAAAACCACUUGUUCUGUCACUGUACAUUGUCCCUUGUGUUCUGCUCAAAAUUGAUUGUGGGAUGUGAAGUGGAGUACAUGGAUUCAAGGGCCGCCAAAUGUAUGAGCUAAAUCUCAGUGGGAAUAUGGUUCUCCCGGGAUUCAUCGACUCCCAUGUCCACCUAAUAUAGUGAUGCCGGAAGAAUUAGAAAAUUCAGAGUUAAGGCACGUGAUCUUCACGAGUUACUUUCCAAUUUUUAUGCAGUCUUUUGAAUGAGAGUAUGUUUGGAUUGUUGAUUCAAAGAACCUAUAUCUAUAUUUCAAGUCAGGUCAGCUUACUGAGAAGCUCAUAAAGGAGAUUACAGUACUAGAGCUAGAAAUCAUAUGCUUGGAGCAGCAUCUCCUGACACUCUACCGGCAGGCCCUUUAUCAACAAUUAUGCAGUACAAUUUUUGCUUAGUUGUUGCCUAUGUUGGUCGACGAGAGUCGCCCAUUGCUGUUCUGAUUGUUUCCCUGCCAUAUUUGAUUAAUUCCAUACUUAGCAAAGAAGAGUACACUUCAGCAUCGAUUCAAUAUUGUCACUGGUUUGCUAAUUAAGAUGUGUAGGUUUCUUUCAAGGCACCAAAUCAUCUUGAAUCUCUUUAAUUAAUCGGCAAAUUUUACAUGGUUGUCGUGUCUAUUUCUAAUCUAUGUAAUAACUAAUACUUCAUAUAUUUGGAAUUCCAAUUACUUUGUUGAUAUUCAAGAAAUCCAUAAUCUUGCUACUUUUUUAAUGUGUGCUUAUCCUAUAACCUUAGUAUAGCUUACAAAAUGUCAAUGUACUUCACUUCCUGAUAGUAUACUGCCAUUUGCCACUGGUUACAAGUAUUAUUUAUGUUGACAAUCAAUUAGCACGCUACUCAUCCUAAUUGUUUUACAGUCUCACGUUCACAUUAGUUGUUUCUCUACAUGGAGACUCGGCUUUAUUUGUCUAUGGUUGGGGCGAUUCUUGUGACAUGUGGCUCGAGCGGAUGUCGCUGAUGUGACGAUAAGAAAAUCCUCUCGGUGCACGGGAGUUUCUAUGGAACUGUCACUCAAGGAGGAUCCGACAUAGCUCAGACUUGAGAGAUAUCCUCAUGGUCAACAAGGAUUGAUCCUGAUUCAAUAUGGAAAGUGUUUCUUUCCUGUGUGUGUCAUAUACAUGUAUUAUUUCUUCGGCAUUCAUACUUAAGGAAACACUUGUUUCAUUGGUUCAUCGCAGCUUGCCAUUUGUUGAGAGUUUUUAGUUCAGUUAGAAAACUUCACUUUGAUUCUGCACCACAAUUUCUAACAAUUCAAUGAAGGUCUGACUUUGUUUUA